RNAcentral lists this unclassified non-coding RNA (249 nucleotides) under uncultured fungus. RNAcentral describes it as "partial contains 5.8S ribosomal RNA, internal transcribed spacer 2, and large subunit ribosomal RNA". Lineage: Eukaryota; Fungi. The record is from RNAcentral.
AACGCACAUUGCGCCCUUUGGCAUUCCGAAGGGCAUGCCUGUUCGAGCGUCAUUUCAACGUUCCAGCCUGGCUGGGUGUUGGGCGUCUUGGUCCCGCCGUUGCGUGCGGACCCGCCUCAAAACAAUCGGCGUCUAUAUGGUUGGCCUGAUGCGUAGCACACCUCGCAAACCAGGCACGCCUAUAGGCCGCCGGAAAGCAACAUUUUUUUGUUUGACCUCGGAUCAGGUAGGGAUACCCGCUGAACUUAA